AACGAACGCUGGCGGCAGGCCUAACACAUGCAAGUCGAGCGCACCUUCGGGUGAGCGGCGGACGGGUGAGUAUCGCGUGGGAACGUGCCCUUCUCUACGGAAUAGUCCUGGGAAACUGGGGGUAAUACCGUAUACGCCCUUUGGGGGAAAGAUUUAUCGGAGAAGGAUCGCCCCGCGUUGGAUUAGGUAGUUGGUGGGGUAAUGGCUCACCAAGCCGACGAUCCAUAGCUGGUUUGAGAGGAUGAUCAGCCACACUGGGACUGAGACACGGCCCAGACUCCUACGGGAGGCAGCAGUGGGGAAUCUUAGACAAUGGGGGCAACCCUGAUCUAGCCAUGCCGCGUGAGUGAUGAAGGCCUUAGGGUUGUAAAGCUCUUUCAAGCUGUGAAAGAUAAUGAACGGUAGCAAGCAGAAAGA
This 417-nucleotide ribosomal RNA is filed under the name Paracoccus solventivorans. RNAcentral describes it as "bacterial SSU rRNA". It matches the Rfam family "Bacterial small subunit ribosomal RNA", at positions 29 to 472 of the family's 1533-position model. Lineage: Bacteria; Pseudomonadati; Pseudomonadota; Alphaproteobacteria; Rhodobacterales; Paracoccaceae. The record is from RNAcentral.